Non-coding RNA from Ixodes scapularis (black-legged tick), 73 nucleotides. Lineage: Eukaryota; Metazoa; Arthropoda; Arachnida; Ixodida; Ixodidae. The record is from Rfam.
UCCUGGUUAGCUCAGUUGGUAGAGCACUCCUCUGGAAAUGGAGAGGUCCCUGGUUCGAUACCAGGACCAGGCG